Molecule: ribosomal RNA, 253 nt
Filed under: uncultured bacterium
Lineage: Bacteria
Description: partial 16S ribosomal RNA
Rfam family: Bacterial small subunit ribosomal RNA
Source: RNAcentral
UACGAAGGGUGCAAGCGUUAUUCGGAAUGAUUGGGCGUAAAGGGUGUGUAGGCGGCAUGUUAAGUCAAUUGUCAAAUCUCUCAGCUUAACUGAGAAUCGGCGGUUGAAACUGGCAAGCUAGAGGGUGGUAGAGAGAAGCGGAAUUCUCGGAGUAGCGGUAAAAUGCGUAGAUCUCGAGAGGAACACCGAUGGCGAAGGCAGCUUCUUGGCCCAUACCUGACGCUGAGGCACGAAAGCGUGGGGAGCAAACAGG